RNAcentral lists this unclassified non-coding RNA (200 nucleotides) under fungal sp. Its description in RNAcentral is "partial internal transcribed spacer 2". The record is from RNAcentral. Lineage: Eukaryota; Fungi.
UUAAAUUCAGCGGGUAGUCCUACCUAAUUUGAGAUCGAGAUUCAUAAUGUCAAGAAUGUGGGGUGGGUGACUGGGAAACACUAUGACCGAUCCACGUGAAUUGCGCACCUGUGCUGACGAGUUCCCAAGAAUGAGACUAUCACGUCAGAGCCAGGUGUGCGCACGCGGUGGUAUGCAUAGGCCCGAUUCAAUAUACAUUA